Non-coding RNA from Pangasius djambal, 75 nucleotides. The record is from the annotation of a GenBank genome assembly. NCBI's taxonomy places the organism in Eukaryota, Metazoa, Chordata, Actinopteri, Siluriformes, Pangasiidae.
UCAGUUGUAGCCCAGUGGUUAAGAUGUCAGACUACUGAUCAGAGGGUCAUGAGUUCAAUCCCCAGUACUACUAAG